GUACUAGGUAAAAGGGUGACGAACUAGAGAUGUAAUUUAUUAAGGAAACUCCUAAGGACCUUCAAGGGGCUACUAUCAAUUUAUAAUUGUAUUUAUGAAUCAAGACCAAAUUAUGAUUAUGUUCUGGAAUUGUCGGGAAACGGACAAUAAGGCUUUUGUUCUUGUUUGCAAUCAUUAUUUUUGGGAGAAUCAACCUGCGAUGCUCAU
RNAcentral lists this long non-coding RNA (207 nucleotides) under Lathyrus oleraceus (garden pea). RNAcentral describes it as "Pisum sativum (pea) long non-coding RNA (PSAT_LNC016009)". Lineage: Eukaryota; Viridiplantae; Streptophyta; Magnoliopsida; Fabales; Fabaceae. The record is from RNAcentral.